CGGUAAUUCCAGCUCCAAUAGCGUAUAUUAAUGUUGUUGCAGUUAAAAAGCUCGUAGUUGGAACUUGGAGUGGGGAAACUGGUCUGCCGUAAGGUGUGUACUGGUGGCUCUGCUCUUUUGUCCAAGUAAUGCUUCUGCUCUUAACUGAGUGGGGGUAGGGCUUGGGCCGUUUACUUUGAAAAAAUUAGAGUGCUCUAAGCAAGCUUAUGCUUUGAAUACAUUAGCAUGGAAUAAUAAAAUAGGACUUUGGUCUUAUUUUGUUGGUUUCUAAGACUAAAGUAAUGAUUAAUAGGGAUAGUUGGGGGCAUUAAUAUUUAAUUGUCAGAGGUGAAAUUCUUGGAUUUAUGAAAGAUUAACUACUGCGAAAGCAUUUGCCAAGGAUGUUUUCAUUAAUCAAGAACGAAAGCUGGGGGAUCGAAGAUGAUCAGAUACCGUCGUAGUCUCAGCCAUAAACCGUGCCGACUAGGGAUUGGUGGACGCUAUUUUGGCUCCAUCAGCACCUUAUGAGAAAUCAAAGUUUUUGGGUUCUGGGGGGAGUAUGGUCGCAAGGCUGAAACUUAAAGGAAUUGACGGAAGGGCACCACCAGGAGUGGAGCCUGCGGCUUAAUUUGACUCAACACGGGAAAACUUACCAGGUCCAGACAUAGUAAGGAUUGACAGAUUGAGAGCUCUUUCUUGAUUCUAUGGGUGGUGGUGCAUGGCCGUCCUUAGUUGGUGGAGUGAUUUGUCUGCUUAAUUGCGAUAACGAACGAGACCUUAACCUACUAAAUAGUUACACGAAUUUCUGAUUCGUGGCCAACUUCUUAGAGGGACUAUAUAAGUCAAUUAUAUGGAAGUUUGAGGCAAUAACAGGUCUGUGAUGCCCUUAGAUGUUCUGGGCUGCACGCGCGCUACACUGACAAGUUCAGCGAGUUUCAACCUUAACCGAUAGGUUUGGGUAAUCUUGUAAAAGCUUGUCGUGCUGGGGAUAGAUUAUUGCAAUUAUUAAUCUUCAACGAGGAAUUCCUAGUAAGCGCGAGUCAACAGCUCGCGUUGAUUACGUCCCUGCCCCUUGUACACACCGCCC
This 1066-nucleotide ribosomal RNA is filed under the name uncultured eukaryote. Its description in RNAcentral is "bacterial SSU rRNA". It matches the Rfam family "Eukaryotic small subunit ribosomal RNA", at positions 577 to 1674 of the family's 1831-position model. The record is from RNAcentral.